UACAGAGGGUGCGAGCGUUAAUCGGAAUUACUGGGCGUAAAGCGUGCGUAGACGGCUAUCUAAGUCGGGUGUGAAAGCCCCGGGCUCAACCUGGGAAUUGCAUUCGAGACUGAAUAGCUAGGGUGCGGUAGAGGGAAGCGGAAUUUCCGGUGUAGCGGUGAAAUGCGUAGAUAUCAGGAGGAACACCAACGGCGAAGGCAGCUCGCUGGGACGGUACCGACGCUGAGGAACGAAAGCUAGGGGAGCAAACGGG
RNAcentral lists this ribosomal RNA (253 nucleotides) under uncultured bacterium. RNAcentral describes it as "partial 16S ribosomal RNA". It matches the Rfam family "Bacterial small subunit ribosomal RNA", at positions 524 to 776 of the family's 1533-position model. The record is from RNAcentral.